This 507-nucleotide small RNA is filed under the name Drosophila pseudoobscura pseudoobscura. Its description in RNAcentral is "GA31430". The record is from RNAcentral. Lineage: Eukaryota; Metazoa; Arthropoda; Insecta; Diptera; Drosophilidae.
UAAUACAAAAUAAUAGAAGCUAUGAAAACUUUCUGAGAACAGUAGGCAGUGGGACAAAUGUAAAAUUAAAAGUACUACAAUUCUUCAGUACUCAAACAUAGACACUACACAAUACACACAAAAUAAUAUUAUUCCCAAGAAAUACAUUCCCUAAAACAAAACAGUCGGAUGGAACUUGCAUCCAUAAGGAAUGCACGGAUCAUUUGUGGCAUCGAAUUAUGCGGAUGGCACUGGAACACAAAUAGUAAUAAUAUAUAGAAGAACAAUCUAGAGGAAUACUCUGGUGAUGUGUGGCAUCAAAACAUGUUGAGCUUCCAUUUUCUCGUGCAGCAGACCCUCGCUCCUCAAGAUCAUCUCGUUAUAAAUAGGGCCAGUGUUGGCAUCGUCUUUGGUGAGGUUGUCCAUCACAUGUAGCGAGAUCCAUCAUCAUGACGCAUCUGGAUAAAUCGUCGAGAUAUUCUUUCUUUAUUGAGGAAUAAAUAUUAUAUCGAAUAUAUAGAAAUACCA